RNAcentral lists this ribosomal RNA (441 nucleotides) under uncultured bacterium. RNAcentral's name for it is "bacterial SSU rRNA". It matches the Rfam family "Bacterial small subunit ribosomal RNA", at positions 958 to 1398 of the family's 1533-position model. The record is from RNAcentral.
AACGCGAAGAACCUUACCUACCCUUGACAUCUUAGGAAUCUUGCAGAGAUGUGAGAGUGCCGAAAGGAACCUAGAGACAGGUGCUGCAUGGCUGUCGUCAGCUCGUGUUGUGAGAUGUUGGGUUAAGUCCCGUAACGAGCGCAACCCUUAUCCUUAGUUGCCAACAUGUAAUGGUGGGGACUCUAAGGAGACUGCUGGUGAUGAACCGGAGGAAGGUGGGGACGACGUCAAGUCAUCAUGGCCUUUAUGGGUAGGGCUACACACGUGCUACAAUGGGCAGUACAGAGGGUAGCGAAACUGCAAAGUGGAGCCAAUCUCAGAAAGCUGUUCGUAGUCCGGAUUGAAGUCUGCAACUCGACUUCAUGAAGUCGGAAUCGCUAGUAAUCGCGAAUCAGAAUGUCGCGGUGAAUACGUUCCCGGGCCUUGUACACACCGCUCGUC